This 688-nucleotide ribosomal RNA is filed under the name uncultured Lachnospiraceae bacterium. RNAcentral's name for it is "bacterial SSU rRNA". It matches the Rfam family "Bacterial small subunit ribosomal RNA", at positions 72 to 772 of the family's 1533-position model. The record is from RNAcentral. Lineage: Bacteria; Bacillati; Bacillota; Clostridia; Lachnospirales; Lachnospiraceae.
GGAGGAGCUUGCUUCUCCAAGUCAGUGGCGGACGGGUGAGUAACGCGUGAGUAACCUGCCCUUCAGAGGGGGAUAACGUCUGGAAACGGACGCUAAUACCGCAUGACAUAUUUCCAUCGCAUGGUGGAGAUAUCAAAGGAGCAAUCCGCUGAAGGAUGGACUCGCGUCCGAUUAGAUAGUUGGCGGGGUAACGGCCCACCAAGUCGACGAUCGGUAGCCGGACUGAGAGGUUGAACGGCCACAUUGGGACUGAGACACGGCCCAGACUCCUACGGGAGGCAGCAGUGGGGGAUAUUGCACAAUGGGCGAAAGCCUGAUGCAGCAACGCCGCGUGAGGGAAGACGGUUUUCGGAUUGUAAACCUCUGUUCUAAGUGACGAACAAAUGACGGUAACUUAGGAGAAAGCCCCGGCUAACUACGUGCCAGCAGCCGCGGUAAUACGUAGGGGGCAAGCGUUGUCCGGAAUUACUGGGUGUAAAGGGAGCGCAGGCGGAGAAGCAAGUCAGUGGUGAAAACGAUGGGCUUAACUCAUCGACUGCCAUUGAAACUGUUUCCCUUGAGUGAAGUAGAGGCAGGCGGAAUUCCGAGUGUAGCGGUGAAAUGCGUAGAUAUUCCGGAGGAACACCAGUGGCGAAGGCGGCCUGCUGGGCUUUAACUGACGCUGAGGCUCGAAAGUGUGGGGAGCAAA